GACGAACGCUGGCGGCGUGCCUAAUACAUGCAAGUAGAACGCACAGUUUAUACCGUAGCUUGCUACACCAUAGACUGUGAGUUGCGAACGGGUGAGUAACGCGUAGGUAACCUGCCUGGUAGCGGGGGAUAACUAUUGGAAACGAUAGCUAAUACCGCAUAAUAUUGAUUAUUGCAUGAUAAUUGAUUGAAAGAUGCUAUUGCAUCACUACCAGAUGGACCUGCGUUGUAUUAGCUAGUAGGUGAGGUAACGGCUCACCUAGGCGACGAUACAUAGCCGACCGGAGAGGGUGAUCGGCCACACUGGGACUGAGACACGGCCCAGACUCCUACGGGAGGCAGCAGUAGGGAAUCUUCGGCAAUGGACGAAAGUCUGACCGAGCAACGCCGCGUGAGUGAAGAAGGUUUUCGGAUCGUAAAGCUCUGUUGUAAGAGAAGAACGGGUGUGAGAGUGGAAAGUUCACACUGUGACGGUAUCUGACCAGAAAGGGACGGCUAACUACGUG
RNAcentral lists this ribosomal RNA (505 nucleotides) under uncultured bacterium. Its description in RNAcentral is "partial 16S ribosomal RNA". It matches the Rfam family "Bacterial small subunit ribosomal RNA", at positions 28 to 507 of the family's 1533-position model. The record is from RNAcentral.